GUACAUGGAAUACUUGGUGAAAAUGAAUAGGUAAGGAUUGGGUCGAAACGUGGAUCCUAUAGUGCUAAAGAAAAGAGAUGGACACGAUGGGUGUUUGGUGACAUAGAAAAUGGCAUCUAAGUGUUUAAAGAACAUAUUGAGUGGCAUUAAAGUAGUGUACUUGACACUAGAGGUUUGAAAACCUAGGGAUAGGUGGAUCCCUUAGAAAAUGCCUUGUAGACAAAAAACUUAGUAAAGCUAAG
This 242-nucleotide long non-coding RNA is filed under the name Ananas comosus (pineapple). RNAcentral's name for it is "long non-coding RNA (ACOM_LNC039125)". The record is from RNAcentral. Lineage: Eukaryota; Viridiplantae; Streptophyta; Magnoliopsida; Poales; Bromeliaceae.